Molecule: long non-coding RNA, 24652 nt
Filed under: Triticum aestivum (bread wheat)
Lineage: Eukaryota; Viridiplantae; Streptophyta; Magnoliopsida; Poales; Poaceae
Description: long non-coding RNA (TAES_LNC010648)
Source: RNAcentral
AAAAAUCAAGACGUCAGCAGCUUCCACACACAAACAACAUCAAUCAUAUUUUGGGUGAAAGCAACAGCCACUCACCACUGCAAGCGGCUGCUACCACUAUCAAAACUUGGAGCUACAAAGGACGACUGUGUGCUCAAGAACAAAGAGACUUGUAGACAGUUCACAUGGAAAUACUCCAAUUUAAGUCCAAUACAAGCCUAAUUUACACCAGGGGGCGGGCACAUCAGCCCUUAACAAUUUUUCUUGGUGACAGUUUCCAUCGUCCUUCUAGGUUUCCCUAGCUUUUCAAAAUUUUCUCUCUAUACAAAGAAAGAAUAGACCAUCAUACUCCCCCACUGUUUCUGCAGCCAGCUAGAAUCACUUGUAGCUAAGCAGAACUGAGUUGAUGACAUGCAUAAGCAAGCGAAGAUUGCUGUUAUCCAAUGGACUGGUGGUGGGGAGCGACCGGUGGUGAGCCAAUUUGGCGUAGACUUGCUCGAAGAUAGGCCUCACAUGUAUGGCGAUGACUUGGUCUGUCGGAUUGAUCGCCAUGGCAACAUCUGUCAUCCACUGAAUUUUCCGGGAUGUCUCGGUGCCAAUAUCAACUGCUAGCUGCUGGAGUAGGGCUAGGAGGACUCCCUGGUUCAGAGGGACUGGGGCCAUUGUACAUAAUCCACGCAAAUCAACCUGUACAAGAGGGUAGAGCUAUAACAAAUCCAACACAGCUAUUCCAGUAUGAGCAAGUUAAUGAACAAGGGUCAUAUAGCUCAGCAUUAGCUGACCAAUCAAGGACGACGAUACCUGAGAGCAUAACCAAGACACAAUUGACACGUCACUUCUUUGAAGUGCUACUGUAAAAGCCUCGUCAAAUUUGUGUUCAGCUAGCAGUCUUCCCAGCUCCUUCAUCGGGUCUAAUGGUGCCUCGACCUGAAAAAUUGCAGGGCACAUGAAAAUUAUAUAGAUGUCUUGAUGUCACCAAUCAUCAUAUUAUUUACCUAAGACAAGGAAAAUAAGAUUGAAGACUCAUCCCUCAAUACCCAAUAGGCAUACCCAUACUACAUCAAACGGCUUAGACAGGUCGCCAAUCAGAAAAAAUGUGUAAGUUUAAAAGGUUUCAGAAUUCAGCACCUCUGGCGGGCCAGUGAUAGGACCAUUGUUGGGCUGCAGAACAUUUGUAUUUUGCGCAUUGGCAUUGCCAGAUGUAACCAGCGCCAAAAUUUUGCGAUUCCCAUCAAGUAACUCUGAUGUGAGAUUCUGGGUGAUUGAGGAUGCAGAAGUGAUAGUUUCCUGAAAAGUAAUUAUAUAAACAUUUUUGUUAUUAUACAAUUGGAAAGGAAAAAUGCAUACUUUUAACUUGCUAUUUCCAGCCAUUCCAAAUAACAAAUAUCCUACCUUUAAAGUAAGCACCAAUGGAGUAUGUGCUGCCUCAACCUGCUGCUGAAUAGCAACAGCAUGCUCAGACAUUCCUUUCUGGAAUGCACUGUCUACUUGCUCAAACAUUGUCUUGCAUGAUUGUUCAAAUGCUGGAACAAGCAAUGAUUCAAAGCUAGUGCGUAAAACAUCCUGCAUACAUCCAUUUAAAACAAAUUAGUACAUCUAGCAAAGCUAAAACAAAUUGAUCUUACAGUAAAUUUCAUAUAUAGAUGAACAACUUAAGCAAUCUACUGAGAAACAAAGGCACGACAAACAAAUCAGAUGCAACAUGUAACAUGCCACAUAAGAGCUGCUAGAAUACCAUCUAUAAGAACAAACUACAAGAUGAUACAUACCUGAAGAGUCUGUUUUACAGAUGUAUGAAAUUGCAUUUGGAUUUGCCUAGCAAGUGUAGCUUCAAGUUUUGCAGUAACAGAUUUGUCCAGCUGAUUCACCACCUUGUCACCCACCGCUUUCUAAAAGCAAACAGUCAAACAAGAGCAAGGGUGGCAAAAGCAAGAACAACAAAUGCAACAGGAAGUUAGGCACAACCUGAACUGCAUCAGCAACUAUAGAAGUUAAGGACUUCUCAAUAAUAGGUGUCAUUGCCCGUGCAACAACAGGUCCAAGUGAAGAAACUUCUUUCUUUACUAACUUAUCCAACAUAGCAGGAAGGUCCUUGUUUAUUGAGCUUGUGAUGAGAGUGGUCAUUUGCUGCAUUCGCUCCCUUUCAGCCUUCUCACGUUUUGUGUUCUCCUCCAGGAAACGAGCCCACAAGGCAUCAAUGCUAGCCUUGAUAGAUUUUUCCAUUGUACGGCCUAGUGAUGUUUCAAUUCUUUUGCCUUCCUUCGCAAUGGGAGCAAUAACGAUAGUACCUAGCUGCUUCUGCAUAUCCUUCUGCAUGGCUAUUAGCUGCAAGACACGCGACCACACAGUAAAUAAACUGAAGCUCAUACUCAUAUAACGCUGAUCUAAAAGCCAUAGUGUUAUAACCUAGAAUUCUCACCAUCUAAUAGCACUAGUCAAGUGACAAAUCAAAACAAACCAAGUAUAUCUUUUCCUAAAAAAAGAGUAGAUAUUUGCUGAUUUUACAAGCAGGCACAAUUGUUAAGUUGGCCAUAGAUGGCUACAUCAUGUCCAACUCAGGGUACUGGACAAGUGGGCCAAUACUAGAUGGGAUACCACGGUUGUCACUCCAUGGAUCUUCAUUCCAAUUAGGCCAGUGCUUUUUUCCCAGUGAAACCCAGAAUGAAAUGACAAUUUUACCUGUACAGAUUUUCUCAUGCAUCUCAACAAAAUAUUUAAGAAUGUGUGUUUACAUGCAGGACAUGAGAAACAAGAAAACUACCAGAGUCUAUAAGGAAUUUGUAUCCGUAACACCUAGUUUGGAUGGACCAGGAAUUGAAUGGGAUUCCAACCUCAGCCUAUCCUACUCAGUACUCACAUUGAUUUUAAACUUGAAACUGCGCCAAGUUUAUGCCAGGUUGGCAGGCUGCAGGGUCACAUUGGUUCCCACUUCCCAGCCCAAUCUAAACUAAGCAUAAAGAAACUGUCUUCCUAAAGGACAACCCUGUGAUUUUCUAGUAGUAGCAAGUCUAAUAACCAGUCAAUAGCCAAAUUACUCUUGAAUUCAGGCCAAAUAUUAUCGACAUGUAAAACUAGAGCUUAUAUGCAAAUUGCUGUUGACGUUAGUACAGUACAAUAGUACAUCAAAGAAGCAUUAGUUUCAUAUUGCAGGCCGGAUGGCAAAGAGACCACGAUGGUCGUAUUGCAAUAGGAGGCCAAGACAGUCGUAUUGCAAAGUCCAAACAGCAAGUAGAACUCCAGAAUACUACAAGCAACUCCAUUCGACUAAAGUUACUUCAGAGUACAUAGAUAAGAGAAUAGUUUAAUGCAAUGCUCACCUGUUGCAGCAUAUCGGCAACUUCUGAAGAGGAUUGAAUAGGAGGGUAUGCACUGCUGACAGGUUCAUGUGAAGACUCAGUUGAGUUAAAUGCGCUUGUAGAAGGUGAUGACUGACCAGAUGCUUGAGGAUGAAAAACCUUGUCCUUUGUAUAUGAAGAUGAUUGCUCCCUAGACACAGAGGAGUCACUUAUGCCAGGUUUUUCUACGGUUUUGUUUGAAACAUUUUCUCCAGCAGCACCAGUAUGGUCAGGGACCAGUCUAUCAGAUGGUGACCGUGAUUCUUCCACGCUAUACUUAUCAGUUGUUACUGAACGCUCACUGAUCAUUUCAACAGUUUGCUCCAACGAAUUUUGAUCUUUCUCUGAGUUCUCACAGACAACUUGAGCUUCCUUGACAGCUUCAAGUUCCAAAUCAUGAUUAGAUUUACUCUCAUCGACAUGUUUUGCUUCCACUUCUGCAAUCCGAGGGCUACUAAUAGAGUCAUCCUGGAUUUUUGCGCCAUCAGAUUUAGAGAUCUGAUUGCUUUCAGCAGACAGAGCACCUGAUAUAAUUUCAGAUGGAGUUAUGAGAUGAGUGGCAUUUCCUCCUACCUUAAACAUCAUGCGAGGAUUUGGGAGCAUCUGAACAUCACUGUGGCUGUCUCUUAAUUCAUCCUUUCCAAAAUUGUCCUUUGGCAUGGGUGUAUCUUGCCUAGCAAGGGCAACUGGUUUUGGCAUGGGUGUAUCUUGCCUAGCGAGGGCAACUGGUUUUGGCAUGGGUGUAUCUUGCCUAGUCAAGGCAACUGGCUCAGUGAUUCGGCUUGUCGAAUAAUCAAAAGCUGAUUGGUCUUUGUCACGGUUGCCUACUGAUGGUCCUGAUCCAGUAAGAUCAGUGUUUGAUGCAAGAGGGGCAGACUGAAGAUGCGCAGAACCAUCACCUUCUGUGUAUGUAAGUGGUGGAGCUGAUGGCUUAAGAUCAAACUCUGCAGAUAAUGAGAUAAAUCAUAAGCAAAAGAAAACUCUUAAUUAACUGAAGCAAUUGAAUGAGACAUGGUAAUUGUUUUACCUGCAGUCUGAUCAAAAGUUGAUUGUUUACUCGAAGUACCGACGGUAUAAGAAUCUGUAAAGCUAGUUCCCGUGGAUGACUCUGCUCCUACCACUUCCAGAGGUGUAUCAUAAACACGUGAAAUAGCAGGGUCUCUUCCAAAUGAGGUAGUGUCAGAUGUAGGAGGCGAACAAAGUGAUAACUCCAGCCCAUACUGCUGGAUGGCCAUUGUUUGGACACAAUAGACUUGAACUACCUGCUCACCAUCAGGUUGGCUUUCAUGUGUGCCAGUAAGACUUAAAAUAGGCAUCGCGACUGUAAAAUCUGCGAUAUAAUCCAAGCGGGUAGAAGCGGGGUCUGAGCCAUACUCAACAUGCACAGCGUAAAUAGCAUUCUUCUUCGCAUUCGCAAGUAAGAUAAUGCUUGCUUGAGGCAGCACUGCGACUUGGUUGAAAAAUGCCUCCUCGACUUUAGGUUCCAGAGAACUAACAAGUUCCAGAGUCUGCGUGCAAUUCCAAGUCUCAGAGUCGCUUGGCAACAACCAACCUUCUUCAUUAGUAGAAGCCCAAAUUUUAAUUUCUCGGUUUAGAGGACCCUGCAUUAAGAACCAGAAUAGCAUGUAAGACAUCUGUUAACAUAUUUGCACAACAUGCAGUCAAUUAUUCUGUUUCUCAGAAGAUGAUAAGAGCAGAAUCACAUUAACUGAUCAUUUCUAAUAGAAAUAGAAUAUCUACAAAAUGAGUCUACCAUUUGAACAUUAUAUAAUGUAGCAUUUCACAGACUAUCCAAACCACGAGCAGAGUCUUUGCCUCUUUGUCCCUUGGCAAUUGUAGGCAAAUACAGCUCCGUUUAGAUUUUACUAAAACUCAAGUGGUACAGGCACCUUAUAGUUCAUUCCUAAUUAAUAUAUGUCAUUGUGUUUUGGUAUAUGUAACGUUGUAAAACUGAGCAAGAUGCCCCAACAAAAGCGUGUGCUUCAAAAAGUCAAGUAAAACUAAGCAAUCAUUGGGACAAAUUAAGUAAUCUGUGCAAGAGUGCAUACAGCAGUGAUGAGAUUUAUAUGAUGCGGGCGCUCAGGUGCUGUAAGAAAGGCAACUGAGUAAACAGCUUGACCAUCAUGUGGCUUUAGAAUCGAUAGAGGUGCUAACUUGCGAUCGUCCCAAAUCUUUACCUGCAAAAUAAACCAAUAUACAUUACAAAUGUGCUUAGUAAGGAUGAUCAGCACUUCUCUAAAUAAAAUAAUGUCUAACAGGGAAAAGAGAGGCCAACUAAGUCGAAAAAUUGCUGGCAGCCUCAUUAGUGCUUAACCUAGCAGCUGAUGUUAGUUUUCAACCGACUAUUAGCAGUAACCAGACAGCACCUGAUAACCAUCAAUCGAGGUUACGCGAACAUAGCAGGUGAAACGUACUUCACAGUUUUUCUAUGCACUGCAAAUAAUUUUAUAUGGUAUAUAUUGCUGAUUACAACAGCGUAAAUGCAGUCAAAACCAUCAAAUCAAGGGGGAGACAGUCCAAACCACAUAUCAUUCGAUGAACUAUUUCCACGAGACAUAUGGUUUGCUUUCCUUUCUUAAGAGAAAGGUGCUUUGAAACGACAAGAGAACAAAGUAUUAGGAUACUAUUAAAAAAAACUCUGCAACCAGAAUAAAAAUAAUUAACUCUGCAAGCCUAUCGAUGGAAAAUUCAGUCAUAUUUUAAUCAAUGGUUUUUUAUACAAUUUAUUCAGUGAAAUGAAAGAGGAAAUAAGCUUCCAUAUUGCUCAGAAGAACUAGAAUCUGAUGGCAUAUUCAAGAAUACCAUUCAGAAAAUACUUCUCCCAAUUCCGCAGAAUUCAAAUUUUCACAAUAAAUAGGAGAGUAUUUGAUACAAACCAUGCCAUCAUUUGAUCCUGAAGCCAGUCGGGUAGUCAUCCACUGAGAUAUGGACAAAUCUGUCACAUCACCAUCAUGCCUACCAACCAAGCGUACACCAUCAAUAAGCUCAUCAAGAUGACAUUUGAUAGGUUCUUCAACACUAAAGUCUCUUCCCCUUCCAACUUUAGUUGUGUCUAUUCUUAAGACACAGUUUCUGAUUCCAACAAACAGAAGUUCCUGUAGGAUAAACAUGCAACUCCAUUAGUGAGUUGAGAUGCAAAAUGAACUUGGGAGGUGGCAAAUGUUAUGUAAAUGAUGCCUUACUUGCUUAUGAGAGUGCCAACAUAUCCUUGGAUGGUAAGCUACAGCAUCACCUACAAUUUGUAUGGCAACUUCUAUCUUUCCUGUAAUUUGUGGUUUAUUUUCUGCAUCGGGCCCCUCAUCAAUCCUCCACACGUAUAUCCGUCCAUCCACACUUGCGCUGCAGCAGAAGAGAGCAACUUAGCAUACAUGACCCACACAAUUAUAAAGAAUAAGGAAAAGGAUUAGCUAUUUUUAUAUAGUAUAAAUAACCUCAGACAAUGUUAAAUAUGUGAUCUCCAAAGGAGAGUGAAGAUAACUUUUUGUUGUGCUGCCAACUGGGUGAACAAAUUCAGAUUAUGUUAUUGUUCCAUACACAGUACCUUGCUAAACGAUGGACGUCCUCAGCGAAGAAAGCCAUGUCCGUGACCCUCUAAAGAAGAAAGAACACAAGCCAUAAGAAACAAAUGCACUUUCAUAUACUUAGUAAAAUUCGAACCCACGUGAAAAUGAGGAGUGCAUAACCAAUUACCAUCUAAAGAUAUUGACAAAUAUUGACAUCAGAAAUCCUCAGUCACUUCCUUGAACACUUAAAUUGCGGGACAAGUUUACAUACAAUAUUUUAUAAAUUAAAAUUGCUGAAUUUGAGCACGAGCAAACAACCACACAGUAACGGCCUUAUGGGCAGUGAUUAUUCCAUGAGUGUCAUCCACAUAGAAUGUUCAAAUUCACUGAAAUAAGCUAAUUCAGCCCUUCUUAACGGUCUAGCCAACAUAAAUUCAGAAUUAACAUAUCUAUUAAUACAUAAUUAAUUCAUCAGCCUUGUCAUGACAUCGAUACAAAUAAUAAUGUAUCAGAGGUUGUUUUCAAAAUAACAUGCAACUGAAUGUGAUGAUAACAAAAUAUCUGAAAAUGGUUUCACCCGAAAAUGUAUAAGGUAUUUUAUUCUAGCGUAUGGGGAAUGCAGUAUCUACACUUUGAACUUUUCAGAUCCUUUCCCUUAGCUAAAUACAUCAUUCAUCAUUAACACCCACUACCCACUACCCAGCGAUUCAAUUUGUGGAUGAGCAUUUCUACAUAGAACUAACCAACAAUUUAUCUCUCUGGACUAAAAUAUAUACCUGUGUAUGGCCACGGAGCAGUGACCGAAGCGCGGUGUUGAUGUUUAGCACACGGAUGUUCCCCAGCUUGAGCCCAUAGACGAUGUACGUCCGGUUUACAGCGAUCUGCCUGCCCAGCACAAGACCUGGGUCUGACGUGUACUUGGUGAUCGGCGUCACCUCCAGCUGUGGCGGCUGCGCCUCCCCAGGCAGCCUCGAGUCGACGUUGUGCACCGCCUUGUCCCCGCCACCCAGAAGCCGACCUCUCGGCACCUUGCUGCUGGUGCUGCUGAGCAUCCUCGCCGGCGGCGCGGAUGGCAUCGCCGGGAGCGGCGACGGCUGCGCGGCGGCGAACUCCGACGACGGCGGGGGCAUAGAUACCGCGGACUCGAGGUGGCCCGACCCGGAGCUGCCGAGCAGCUGCAUGAGGCGAGCGCCGGGGUUGGCGCCCCCGGCGGCCAUGGGGUUAGCGCCCGGGUUGGGGUUCGCGUUCGGGUUGGGCAUGGGGAAGGGGAUGACCGGGCGGGGCAUGGGGGGCUGGGGAUCCUGCGGGUAGUGGAGGUAGGGGCGGNNNNNNNNNNNNNNNNNNNNNNNNNNNNNNNNNNNNNNNNNNNNNNNNNNNNNNNNNNNNNNNNNNNNNNNNNNNNNNNNNNNNNNNNNNNNNNNNNNNNNNNNNNNNNNNNNNNNNNNNNNNNNNNNNNNNNNNNNNNNNNNNNNNNNNNNNNNNNNNNNNNNNNNNNNNNNNNNNNNNNNNNNNNNNNNNNNNNNNNNNNNNNNNNNNNNNNNNNNNNNNNNNNNNNNNNNNNNNNNNNNNNNNNNNNNNNNNNNNNNNNNNNNNNNNNNNNNNNNNNNNNNNNNNNNNNNNNNNNNNNNNNNNNNNNNNNGCGGGGUUGGGAGGCGGCCUGAAGAGCAUGGCCAUCUCGAAGGGGGGAUUGGGGUUGCCGGGGUUCGGAUUAGGGUUUCCGGCUGGAGACGCCAUUGGAGGCGGCACUGGAGUAGAUCUGGAGAAGUGGGGGUGAGAGAGAGGGAGGAUGGGUCGGAGGUGCGGCGGAGCAGAAGGCGAGAAGUGCAGGUCGGGGUGGUGGCGGUGAUUGUUUUCUCUCGCUUUUGCGCCCUCGCUGUUUCGCUUUAUUUUGACGAGGAUCUUUGAGAACUCAAACGUUGCAGUGCCGUUAUUUUCUUCUUCUGUUUGACUCUACUUCUAAAAAUGCUCCCUCCAUCAAAAUAUAGGGCAUCUUAUAACGAAAAUUGCUUUUGGAGCUCGGCCUCCAUGAAGGCCUCCAAAUUCAAAUUUUAAAAUUUAUCAAAAUUCAUAUUUUAACGUUUCAAAAAAUUCUGAAAAAAAUACAAAUAUGCAUGAAGACAUAACACAUUUGUGUGUAAAUUUUCAAGGCAAAAUAAGUUGAAAUUAGGGCUGUCAAAAAAGCAAAUCUAGGAUUUUUUUAACACAUGAUACUAUUCAUCCUCCUAGGCCAUGAAUUUAUAUUUUUCUGUACAGACAACAUUUCAAGGUAUUUCGUCCUAAAAAUUUACACGCAUACACAUAAUAUCCUCGACCAAUCCGACCUACGACAGCGGACUCACAACGGAUUGCGGUGGUCACGGAAAGGUCUUCGUGAGGGCUCCUCUCUCCACAUCCAAUGGCUCACUUCGAAGAGAGAUGCAAACUUUGGAUAAUGACUUGACGCAGAGGGAUGGUGGUGCAGCAGCGGCGGUACACAACGCAUACCUGCUGAGAUCGAGGAAAAAUGGUGGCGGCGACACAUAAGUGGUGUUGAUGAUGGUGCUACUCGAGCACAUGGUCUUGAGUUCCGGGGUGAAAGCCUAGGUCUGACACAUGUUGCUAGACCUGGCAAUGACGACGUUGUAUGUCGUUACCUUGUUGAAGGCAUUGCUCGGAUAUGCUCAGACCGGUUCUUCAGGGUGAAAACCUAGAUUCUGACCAUGGGUGGUUAGAUCCAGCGACGUCGAUGUUUGAGGCGUCGCUCCCUUCCUGAAGGCGUUGCUGUUGAAGAACCCCGUUCGUGUGGUGUCAUGAGAUGAUUGGUGCGGAUAUGGUCAUUGUUGUAGUUUAUCGAUCGCGUGUCUGUUACUUUGGAUUUUUUUAUCGCCUACGUUUAGCUCUGGUCUUACAUGACUUUGCUAUUUGUCGGCGUGUUUUGUGUGUGUGAGUUAGUGUUGGUUGUGUGCAUCCUAGCUAUGCAGAGACCGGGUGUGUACUCAUUAUGUUUAUAUUCUCUUGAUGCUCCAUUUUGAGUCAAUAAAAUCCAUCCUUUAUCGAAAACAUAAUAUUCUUGUUUACUUGCACAAUUUUUCAGCUUUUUUUAAACAGGCAAGUUUGAAUUUUGAUUUUUCAAAAUUUAAGCUCUCCAAUGAGCUCGGUCACCAAAAGGACGUUAUAACCCUAAAAAGAACACAGGGCGGCUUAGUAUUUUGCAUUUUCCCCCUGUUGUGCAAUAUUUAGAAAAUCGAUGCAUUGUAAACCAACAGAUGUAGAAGCAUUUGUGGCUAGCAGCUCCCUGAGCCAAUGCAUGAAGUUUAAACGCCCUUCUCGCUCAUUUUGGCAUGCACUAUAUUUUGGACUUUGAAGAACAUUGGUUGUUUCCAUGCACAUACAUUGCACAUCAGUAUUCACAUAUGUGUAGCAACCAGAUCACAAGUAUCUAUAAGGUGGCAUAUUGUUUGUAUGCGUAUGUGUGUAAUUACCCCGUUGGCAGACCACACACAUUUGAGUGUCUGAUGCGACGCAUACAUAAAGACUGUGACAUUGCUAACUGGAAAAAACAUUAUUAGCCCGACCAAAAAGAAAGUGAUCAACAUAGUAACAAUAGACUUAUACUUUUUAUAUGCACUGAGGUCUGACGUAAAACAGAAUUGGGGAUGAUAAAUACAACGGUAAGGAUCCAUGUCUCGAUGUCGCACAUGCAUCAAUACCUUAACUACCAUAGUAGUUUCAUGGAGCACGCUCCAUGUAUAAAUUGCGCUAGGGCUGGCAUCACUCAUCUGAUUAAAAAUCUAUCGGGUGUGUUAUGCAGCACGACAAAAGGCUAAAGAAAUUAGUCAAGUCUCAAAUGUGGAAGAUACAAAACAAAACAUUGUUAUAAAAAUACAUAAAAAAUCAUCACUCUCGCGUAUACAACAUAAGUUAAUGUAUAACCAGGAGUCCAUGUAUAAUCGGAAAUCUAAUUUGGAUCCUAGGUGCACGUGCUCCUGCAGGCAAAAAAUAAUUUUUGAAAUAUCAAGAAAAUCCCAACAAAAAUUUGAUGUGUUCAUAGUCACAUUCAAAUGCUACCUACAAAUUUUUAGGUAAAAAAGUUAAGCAUUUGGCCCGUGAAAAAAAAUUAAGCACCAAAUGUUAUACCUAAUUUUAUUUUUUCACUGAUGAAACAUUGUUGCCCUGUUUCACAUCAAAUUUAUCAAGCAUGCUUGCGACACUAACACAAGUAUCUAUAAAAAAUAUUCAGUUUUUUUAAAAUUUCUGUUCAUGUGCGAACAAAUCCACCCGGGAGCCAAGACUCCCUCCGCACAUAUUUUUUUUACAAGGCUAUAUGAGAGUAUAUGGUGCCUAAAUCACAUGUUCGCUCUGGUCCUUACUUCCGGGGCAGUGAAAUAUUAGGUUUCUACGAGGUGCGAAACGCGAACACCCUUCUCAUUUCCCCAAGUACAUACCCUCGGAAUCUUUUAUGCUUUCCAUGCGAGAGAGAAAAUAAACAUUUCACGAGUAGGUGGAUUUGCUUCGAGAGGUCAAUGCGGUGCUAGUUUAAUUAUUCCAAGAUCUGGUCCGACGGUGCAGAUCGAGGCUACGCCUGCACAGACGAACUGGGGCCGCACGUUUGGCAUGGGCUCGGCGCCGGCAACGGCACGGCCUGCCGCAGGAGGGCGCAUGCAGGCGUGCAGCGGCGCUCGAGGGCGAACGGUACGGCUGCACAUGCACUCCUCCGGGCGGCAUGUAGCCCCCAAGCGCAAGCGGCACUGCCACAUGAUGAAGCGACCGAAAUCACUGUUAUGACCUUUUUAGUAAUCUUUGUCACAAAGUGGACUUAAUAUGAAAGUAUUUCACGAUCUAACCCUUUUAACAACGCCACUGUCCGUGACGUUUCCUCUUCAUAUAAAAACGUCGAGGUAACUCGCGUUUCAGCUCCACAUUCAAACGUCGAGCUAACUCGCGUUUUCGCUCCACAUGUAAACGCCAUGAUAGCUGGCGUUGCUACCCAGGCGGAAACGCCAUGAGCUUUGGCGUUUCUAGCUGAAACUCUCGAGUGCAUGCAAAUAGUACUCUACUAAUAGUACUCUAAUCAUUAGUAGGCUUUCUUUGCAUGCUAGCUUAGGAGACCGUGGAGUACUACAUUUAUUUUAAGUGCUCACGGACCCUUACAUGCAUGCAUCGAAGCAUGGCAUGUAGCCGUCUUGUCUACUCGUUGCGUCAGUGCAUGUAGCCUGCAGUACUAGCUCAUGGUUAGCUGCAUUUUCUUUAACCACAGGCCGGCUAGCUCUUAUACUACACUGUACUACUCGUACCAUAUAAGACAGUAGAUAUUCUUGCAUGAGGUGAUUUAGCUUUGCUGAGCUGCAUGGGCUAUGAUCCUAGUUCUUGGAUAGGAGCAGGUAGGUGUCAUUUAUUUGGGAUAGAAACGUAUGCAUGCAUAGGACUAAACUCUGCAAGCUACCAGCUAGAAACGCCAAAGCUCAUGGUGUUUCCGCCUGGGCAGCAACGCCAGCUACCAUGGCGUUUACAUGUGGAGCAAAAACGUGAGCUAGCUCGGAGUUUGAAUGUGGAGCUGAAACGCGAGCUAUCUUGGCGUUUCUAUAUGGAGAAGAAACACCACGGACUGUGGCGUUGCUAAAAGGGUCAGAUCAUAAAAUAUUUUCAUGUCGAGUUCAUUUUGUGGCAAAGAUUGCUAAAGAGGUCAGAACAGUGAUUUUGGCCUGAUGAAGCAUCGCUUCUCCGAGUACAUAAAAAAUACUAACAAAAACAUUCAGGACUAGCCCUUGAAGACGUAUUUUUAUAGAAGAAAUCUCUAAGCACCAUGGAUCACUCCGUACUCCAGCGUUGGUGGGCUAGCUAGCUCCUUGCUGGUCUAGCCAACAGGGCGACAUCCUGUUAUCUCCUCAAAUACAUAGACUAUUGCAUAAUUGCCUGAUAGAAAAAUGCCUUCAGUCGAAUCAGUUUGGACCGUUGAUCCAAGCGGCUCGACUUCUUCCUCCUCCUCCUCGAGUACGGAACCUUUCAUCUUCUUCCUCCGGCCUUCCAUCGAGCCAUGAUUUUUUCGCCCCAUCACCCCUUCCUAUCCUCUUGCCUCGCCUCGAGUAAGGCCAUGUCUGAGCCCCCACCGGCAAGGCCGCCACUAGCCGUGGUGUCCCCAUCUCGUCCUCGGGUUCUGUCAAUCCGAUUAGUGGUCACAUUUAAAAAGGUCCCCCACUUAUAGCGGACAAUCUAUUGACAUGCCUGGUCGAAAUCUCCUCUUCGGGGCUUCGUGUGAGAAUCAGCUGAACUGGCAAAAAAUUCAGGCGGGUGAAGAAUAGCAAACAUGGAAAAGUAACAUGGCGAUGAACAAACUUUAGUCAACUAAUAAUGUGUAGACCAUUUCACCCUGAAAGUGUGUGUGUGUGUGUGUGUGUGUGUGUGUGUUUUGCGAAAAGAGGGUGCCUGAUUUUAGCAUAGCCUAUUAUCCAGGUCUUGUGGAUUAGACAUGGACAGAGGCGGCGAUGAUAAUACUUGAUUGGAUGAUAAUCCAAAGAGUCGACCGCUUUGCUUUUUUUAGUGGAGUAUGAUCUUUUUUUCUGAAAGUGUGAUCUUACUUUUAUAAGAAGAAUUUGACAUGUAAAUAUAUGUACGCAAAUGCUCCCUUCAUUUUCAAAUAUAGGUCUUUUUAAAGAUUUCAACAAGUGACUGCAUACGAAAUAGAAUGAGUAAAUCUAUACUUUUUUCUUGAAUAUGCACGAGUGUGCAUAUUAUAUAUUAUAGAAGAAAGGCAAAGAGUGCCUCCACCAUAGUUUCAAGGUUCAUAUUACAACACUCCUAAUCCUCACUACUAGCCCACCGUUCAAGCCGAAGAAAGAAGGGGUCCAUGUCUCUCUUAAACUUGCCGGCAAUAGACCACAUUCUUCCUAGUAAAACACCUAACGAAGGUGAUGCCCCAUCAAACACAAUAGCAUUGCGAUGCUUCCACAACUCCCACAAAGUCAGCAAGAAAACCGUAUGAAGAUCCUUCUUGUGCCAGCCGUUAGUCCCAUGCUUCUCCGCAAGCCAGAUGGCUAAGGAAUCGUGUGCAGUCGGAGUCCAGUCCAGCAUGCCCAGCGCCUCACAUACUGCAGCCCACGCUGACCUGGCAAAGACGCACGUCAGUAGCACAUGAUCAAUCGUAUGUUGUAGUUCAUACAUUAAAAUAUAUUUACAUACAUUUGUAUGUUGUAGUUCAUUUGAAAUACCUAAAAGACUUAUAUUUAGAAAGGAAGGGAGUAUAUUAUCUCUCCUCUCGCACACACUAAUUAGUUUAUAUCUUGCCGACUCUCCACUCACCCACCCACCAAUUAUUCAAGAGAUAAACUCCUUUUUCUCUAUCUCCUUUUGCACUUACAAAGAUGAUAAGAUAGAGCGGCGCUCAUGAAGCUGCUGAAGUUAACGAACGAUACGUCAAACUUUUUAUGUCAAAAGAUUGACGCACAAGUCAUCGUCCAAUCGUCCACCUUUUGUAAUCGAACGACGCUUUCAGCGGCCCAAUGGUGAUCCAGGCUGAUGUGCCUAGUUCGCUAUUCAACGUUGAUGAAAAAAGAUUAGGCGUCAGCAGCGUCGUAUGGACGGGAAGAAAAGCGAGUUUUUGCUAUAGGAGUUGUCUCGUCUCUCCGUGGAUAGGAACCGCGAUGUUUCACCGGUGAAAGGGACAGGCGCUCGACUAUUCCAUCGCAACUGGUUCAGCCUCUUUGUAAAGUCUGUACUACAUAAUUCAUAGCCUGACUUAACAAAUCCGGCCCUUUGAAUGCGGUGAGUCCCUUGUAGGAGUUGUCGCACAUCUAUAUACCUUAAAUAUGGAGUCUCAAAUUCAUGCAACCCAUGCACGAUAAUCAUGCGAUAUAAAUUGUUUAAAUUUAAUGGUUCGAAAUAAAGCAAAGGAAAUUAUUGUUCAACAAUUUGGACAUGCCCAAAUGAAAUUAAUGUCCGAGCGUGACGGAUGCCUCGCUUGCUGGUCGGAUCAGUGGCCGGACGCCGUUCAUGCCGCCUGCUUCGAGGCCAUCCUUGCCUCCUGCUCCGCCUGCAUCUGGACUGCAUGCUCCGCUGCUGCCGCAGCCGCCCUCGCUGCCUCGUACUCCGUACGUUCGUUGAUCUCCUUCUUCUCCGCAAGCCACUUCUUUACAUGCUCAUCCAAAAGGGUUUCGUCCAUCGACAUGAUCUUCACAUCCUAUGCUUCCCGUGCGAGUUGCAACAUCUCCUUCUCAAUGUCAAUCUCUUCAAAUGUCUUGGCCUUCUUGAGCUCCCAUUUGAUCGCCGCCUCGUGCUUGUCCAACUCGAUCUUCUCUCUCUCAAUUUCAAACUUUUUCUUCGUCUUUUUCCAGUCCCAAUCCAUCCUCUCCUUUUGCGCAUCCAACAUAAACGUGUACCUCUCCUCUUUCUUGUUCUCCCUCGCUGGAAAAUGCCUUCCAUGUGGAGGACAUUUCUGUAGCCGCGACGUCACGGGAGGCCCUUAUCUUCUCCCACUUGUUUCUCAUGACUUGCCGGUUAUUCUUUGGCACUGUGGCUCUUCCAUUCUCGACGACAAUAUCGUCCUCUUCAUCGUCCAACCCAAUUGAUUGGUGGGACCUUGAUCCAUCAUUCCUUUUCUUGUCUGCCUUGUGAUCGGCCACAAGUUGUGUCCACUUUGGCAUUCCUUUCAAUAUGAUCCAACAAUGGCUAAAAGCAAACGACUUCUUCUCCGUUUUGUGAUACAAAGUGUCUGCUACCACCGUCUAACAAACAACAUAUGUAUGAGCACGAGAAUGCAAACACAAGAAGCAUAUGCAAAUGAUGACAAGAUGAACCAAAUGAGCUUACGUGAGUUGCGACUCCCAUCCCACUUUGAGGGUGUUUGGUCACUUGUGAGUAGUAGUCAACGUACUUGUUCACCUCCCUUUGAAUGACCCCCCAUCGAUGUUGGAGAGGUGCCACAUUGCGGUUGGUCAUGAUAGGAUGUGGCUCCACUUAUUCCUUUUGUUCGUGAUACUUGAUGUCUACUACGCAACUUUUAUUUCUUGUAGACUCUGUUGGGCCUCCAAGCGCGGAGUUUUGUAGGACAGCAGCAAAAUUCCCUUAAGUGGAUGACGUAAGAUUUAUUAAUCUGUGGGAGGUGUAGAAUGAAGAUGUUCUCUCUCAAACAACCAUGCAAUCAAAUACAAGAAUUUUUUUGUGUCCCCAACACACACAAUACAAUGGUAAAUUGUAUAGGUGCACUAGUUCGACGAAGAGAUGGUGAUACAAGUGUAGUAUGGAUAGUAGAUAUAGGUUUUUGUAAUCUAAAAAUAUAUAAAAAAAGCAAGGUGGCAAGUGAUAAAACAGAGCACAAACGGUAUUGCAAUGCUUGAAAACAAUGCCUAGGGUUCAUACUUUCACUAGUGCAAUCUCUUAACAGUGCUAACAUAAUUGAAUCAUAUAACAAUCCCUCAACGUGCGACAAAGAAUCACUUGAAAGUUUUUAUCAGAGAACGUAGGAUGAAAACGUGUAUCAACCCCUAUGCAUAGAUAUCCAGUGUGACAGAAAUCCGCAAGUUGAAUACAAAAAUAUACAUCAAGUAACUCAAUAGAAUACCUCAUUAUCAUCACGAGUAUCCACAUGCAAGACAUACAUCAAGUGUUCUUAAAUCCAAAAUAUUCAAUCCAACAUAACGAAACCUCAAAGAGUAAGACUCAAUUCAUCACAACAAAAUAAAGAGGGGAAAACACCAUAUAAUUUGACUAUAUUAACAAAGUGUAAGUGCAUCAAGUGCCCCCUUAGUGGUUUUGGAGUAUUGAAGACAAAUAUGUUGAGGAACUAAUGUGUUUGUGAGUAUACACAGGAGAAAGAGUCCCUGAAGAUUUGGUUUAACACAUGGAAGACGGCCCAUAAAAAUGGAUUUCUUCAAGUGAACAAUUUGGUGAUAAAAUUGGCACGACCUUUCCAGAAAUUGUGUGAAGACUGGAAGCUUGAAGACUUUUGUUUUCAUAGUUUCUUUCUUCUUAUUUGAGUCAUAGGAAAAACCGUAUUAAAGGGGGUCUAGGUGAAUCAUAGUUCACAUUUCCAAAUGAUGCUCAAACAUAUACAUACACAAGCUGCUUCGAGUGAAGUCUUCGGAAAUCUCCAGAACAGUUGAAGCAUUUGCUAGCGACAGUGAUGGAGUUCAUCUGGUCGUUGACGAAUUUGGUCACGCUGAGGAGUUAGGAUUUCACCAGUGUGAUCUACCUAAAAGUGAGGAAAUUGAGUGCCCCGACGAAUUUGAGAGUUCAAAUUCUGACCAUUGUUGCGCCGCGGGCCAGCUGUCGAGUGGAUCCUUAUCCUGAAAACAGUCGAAUCAGAGAAGGCCAUUUAUGACAAUUCAUGUCGGGUUGCCCCCUGACUAUAAAUAGCCGCCCUCACAACCACUUGUUGGUUGGAUGCUCCGAGAGAACUUGACACUUGUCAUUUGAGAGCAACCCAUCCUCUGACGACUUUGAGAGAAUUCUAAGUGAGCAAAGUGUUGGAAAUAUGCCCUAGAGGCAAUAAUAAAAUGGUUAUUAUUAUAUUUCCUUGUUCAUGAUAAUUGUCUAUUGUUUAUGCUAUAAUUGUAUUAACCGGAAACCGUAAUACAUGUGUGAAUACAUAGACCACAACAUGUCCCUAGUAAGCCUCUAGUUGACUAGCUCGUUGAUCAAUAGAUGGUUAUGGUUUCCUAACCAUGGACAUUGGAUGUCGUUGAUAAUGGGAUCACAUCAUUAGGAGAAUGAUGUGAUUGACAAGACCCAAUCCUAAGCAUAGCACAAGAUCGUGGAGUUCGUUUGCUAGAGCUUUUCUAAUGUCAAGUAUCAUUUCCUUAGAACAAUGAGAUUGUGCAACUCCCGGUUACCGUAGGAAUGCUUUGGGUGUAUCAAACGUCACAACGUAACUGGGUGGCUAGAAAGGUGCACUACAGGUAUCUCUGAAAGUGUCUGUUGGGUUGGCACGAAUCGAGACUGGGAUUCGUCACUUCGUAUGAUGGAGAGGUAUCUCUAGGCCCACUUGGUAAUGCAUCAUCAUAAUGAGCUCAAUGUGAUUAAGGAGUUAGCCACGGGAUCAUGCGUUACGGAACGAGUAAAGAGACUUGCCGAUAACGAGAUUGAACGAGGUAUGGGGAUACCGACGAUCGAAUAUCGGGCAAGUAACAUACCGAUGGACAAAGGGAAUUGUAUACGGGGUUGAUUGAAUCCCCAACAUCGUGGUUCAUCCGAUGAGAUCAUCAUGGAACAUGUGGGAGACAACAUGGGUAUCCAGAUCCCACUGUUGGUUAUUGGUCAGAGAGAUGUCUCGGUCAUGUCUGCAUGGUUCCCGAACCCGUAGGGUCUAUACACUUAAGAUUCAGUGACGCUAGAGUUGUUAUGGGAAAUUGUAUGUGGUUAUCGAAGGUUGUUCGGAGUCCCGGAUGAUAUCCCGGAUGUCACGAGGAGUUCCGGAAUGGUCCAGAGGUGAAGAUUUAUAUAUGGAAGUCCAGUUUUCAGCCGGAAUGGUUUCGGGGGUUAUUGGUAUUGUACUGGGACCACCGAAAGGUGUCCGGGGGUCCACAGGGUGGGGCCACCUGCCUCGGAGGACUUAAUGGGCUGAAUAUGGGAGCGAAUCAGCCCCUAGUGGGCUGGUGCGCCCCCAAGGGCCCAAGGCACCUAGGGUUGGAAACCCUAGGGGGAGGGGGCGCCUCCCACCUGCUUGGGGGCAAGUUUCCCCUCCUGGCCGCCCUCCCCCUCUAGAUGCAUCUAGGGGGGGGGGGGCGGCCCCCUCUUCCCUUACCCCUAUAAAUAGUGGGGGGUGGGAGGGCAGCCGCACCCCUUCCCCUGGUGCAGCCCUCCCCCUCCAACACCACCUCCUCCUCCUUAGUGCUUGGCGAAGCCCCGCCGGAGAACCGCAAGCUCCACCACCACGCUGUCGUGCUGCCGGAGCUCUCCCUCAACUUCUCCUCUCCCCUUGCUGGAUAAAGAAGGAGGAUACGUCCCCCGGGUUGUACGUGUGUUGAACGCGGAGGCGCCGUCCGUUCGACGCUUGGAUCAAAUCUUCCACGAUUUGAAUCACCGCGAGUACGACUCCAUCAACCGCAUUCUUGUGACGCUUCCACUUAGCGAUCUUCAAGGGUAUGAAGAUUGACUCCCUCUCUCUCGUUGCUAGCAUCUCCUAGAUUGAUCUUGGUGACACAUAGGAAAAUUUUGAAUUAUUACUAUGUUCCCCAUUAGUGGCAUCAUGAGAUAGGUCUAUGUGUAUGCACGAGUAGAACACAAAGUAGUUGUGGGCGAUGAUUUGGUCAAUUUGCUUACUGUUACUAGUCUUAUCUUGAUUCAGCGGCAUUGUGGGAUGAAGCGACCUGGACCGACCUUACACGUAUGCUUACGUGAGACAGGUUCCACCGACUGACAUGCACUUGAUGCAUAAGGUGGCUAGCGGGUGUCUGUCUUGUUGGAAAUAUGCCCUAGAGGCAAUAAUAAAAUGAUUAUUAUAUUUCCUUGUUCAUGAUAAUUGUCUAUUAUUCAUGCUAUAAUUGUAUUAUCUGGAAAUCGUAAUACAUGUGUGAAUACAUAGACCACAAUGUGUCCCUAGUGAGCCUCUAGUUGACUAGCUCGUUGAUCAACAGAUAGUCAUGGUUUCCUGGCUAUGGACAUGGGGAUGUCAUUGAUAACGGGAUCACAUCAUUAGGAGAAUGAUGUGAUGGACAAGACCCAAACCUAAGCAUAGCACAAAGAUCGUGUAGUUCGUUUGCUGUAGCUUUCCUGAAUGUCAAGUAUCAUUUCCUUAGACCAUGAGAUUGUGCAACUCCCGGAUACCGUAGGAGUGCCUUGGGUGUGCCAAACGUCACAACGUAACUGGGUGACUAUAAAGGUACAUUACAGGUAUCUCCGAAAGUGUCUGUUGGGUUGGCACGAAUUGAGACUGGGAUUUGUCACUCCGUAUGACGGAGAGGUAUCUCUGGGCCCACUCGGUAAUGCAUCAUCAUAAUGAGCUCAAUGUGAUCAAGUGGUUGAUCACGGGAUCAUGCAUUACGGUACGAGUAAAGUGACUUGCCGGUAACGAGACUGAACAAGGUGUUGGGAUACCGACGAUCGAGUCUCGGGCAAGUAACGUACCGAUUGACAAAGGGAAUUGAAUACGGGAUUGAUUAAGUCCUCGACAUCAUGGUUCAUCCGAUGAGAUCAUCGAGGAGCAUGUGGGAGCCAACAUGGGUAUCCAGAUUCCGCUGUUGGUUAUUGACCGAAGAGUCAUCUCGGUCACGUCUGCUUGUCUCCCGAACCCGUAGGGUCUACACACUCAAGGUUCGGUGACGCUAGGGUUGUAGAGAUAUGAGUAUGCAGUAAUUCGAAAGUUGUUUGGAGUCCCGGAUGAGAUCCUGGACGUCACGAGGAGUUCCGGAAUGGUCCGGAGGUGAAGAAUUAUAUAUAGGAAGUGUAGUUUCGGCCAUCGGGAAAGAUUCGGGGUCACCGGUAUUGUACCGGGACCACCGGAUGGGUCCCGGGGGUCCACCGGGUGGGGCCACCCAUCCCGGAGGGCGCCAUGGGCUGAAGUGGGGAGGGGAACCAGCCCAUAGUGGGCUGGUGCGCCCCCCCUUUGGGCCCCCCUGUGCCUAGGGUUGGAAACCCUAGGGUGGGGGGCGCCUCCACUUGCCUUGGGGGGCACUCCACCCCCCUUGGCCGCCGCCCCCUUGGGAGAUCCCAUCUCAAGGGCCGGUGCCCCCCAAGGUGCCUAUAUAAAGGAGGGGAGGAGGGAGGGCAGCCGCACCUCAAGUCUUGGCGCCUCCCUCUCCCCUGCUACACCUCUCCCUCUCGUAGAAGCUCGGCGGAGCCCUGCUGCGAUCACUGUUGCAUCCACCACCACGCCGUCGUGCUGCUGGAUCUUCAUCAACCUUUGCUUCCCCCUUGCUGGAUCAAGAAGGAGGAGACGUCAUCCGCUCCGUACGUGUGUUGAACGCGAAGGUGCCGUCCGUUCGGCACUUGGUCAUUGGUGAUUUGGAUCACGGCGAGUACGACUCCAUCAUCCCCGUUCUCUGAACGCUUCUGCUCGUGAUCUACAAGGGUAUGUAGACGCACUCCUCUCUCCCUCGUUGCUAGAUGACUCCAUAGAUUGAUCUUGGUGAUGUGUAGAAAAUUUUAAAAUUCUGCUACGUUCCCCAACAGUGGCAUCAUGAGCUAGGUCUAUGCAUAGUUACUAUGCACGAGUAGAACACAAAGUAGUUGUGGGCGUCGAUAUUGUCAAUUUGCUUGCCGUUACUAGUCUUAUCUUCAUUCGGCGCCAUCGUGGGAUGAAGCGGCCCGGACCAACCUUACACGUACGCUUACGUGAGACCGGUUCCACCGACUGACAUGCACUAGUUGCAUAAGGUGGCUGGCGGGUGUCUGUCUCUCCCACUUUAGUCGGAUCGGAUUCGAUGAACAGGGUCCUUAUGAAGGGUAAAUAGAAAUUGGCAAUUCACGUUGUGGUUUUGGCGUAGGUAAGAAACGUUCUUGCUAGAAACCUAUAGCAGCCACGUAAAAACUUGCAACAACAAUUAGAGGAUGUCUAACUUGUUUUUGCAGCAAGUGUUUUGUGAUGUGAUAUGGCCAAAGGUUGUGAUGAAUGAUGAAUGAUAUAUGUGAUGUAUGAGAUUGAUCAUGUUCUUGUAAUAGGAAUCACGACUUGCAUGUCGAUGAGUAUGACAACCGGCAGGAGCCAUAGGAGUUGUCUUUAUUUUUGUAUGACCUGCGUGUCAUUGAGAAACGCCAUGUAAAUUACUUUACUUUAUUGCUAAACGUGUUAGCCAUAGUAGUAGAAGUAAUAGUUGGCGAGCAACUUCAUGGAGACACGAUGAUGGAGAUCAUGAUGAUGGAGAUCAUGGUGUCAUGCCGGUGACAAGAUGAUCAUGGAGCCCCAAGAUGGAGAUCAAAGGAGCUAUAUGAUAUUGGCCAUAUCAUGUCACUAUUAUUUGAUUGCAUGUGAUGUUUAUCACAUUUUUGCAUCUUGUUUACUUAGAACGACGGUAGUAAAUAAGAUGAUCCCUCAUAAUAAUUUCAAGAAAGUGUUCCCCCUAACUGUGCGCCGUUGCGACAGUUCGUUGUUUCGAAGCACCACGUGAUGAUCGGGUGUGAUAGAUUCCAACGUUCACAUACAACGGGUGUAAGACAGAUUUACACACGCAAUACACUUAGGUUGACUUGACGAGCCUAGCAUGUACAGACAUGGCCUCGGAACACAGAAGACCGAAAGGUCGAACAUGAGUCGUAUAGAAGAUACGAUCAACAUGAAGAUGUUCACCGAUGUUGACUAGUCCGUCUCACGUGAUGAUCGGACACGGCCUAGUCAACUCGGAUCAUGCUAUACUUAGAUGACUGGAGGGAUGUCUAUCUAAGUGGGAGUUCAUUGAAUAAUUUGAUUAGAUGAACUUAAUUAUCAUGAACUUAGUCUAAAAUCUUUACAAUAUGUCUUGUAGAUCAAAUGGCCAACGUUGUCCUCAACUUCAACGCGUUCCUAGAGAAAACCAAGCUGAAAGACGAUGGCAGCAACUAUACGGACUGGGUCCGAAACCUGAGGAUCAUCCUCAUAGCUGCCAAGAAAGAUUAUGUCCUAGAAGCACCGCUAGGUGACGCACCCGUCCCACAGAACCAAGACGUUAUGAACGCUUGGCAGACACGUGCUGAUGAUUACUCCCUCGUUCAGAGCGGCAUGCUUUACAGCUUAGAACCGGGGCUCCAAAAGCGUUUUGAGAGACACGGAGCAUAUGAGAUGUUCGAAGAGCUGAAAAUGGUUUUUCAAGCUCAUGCCCGGGUCGAGAGAUAUGAAGUCUCCGACAAGUUCUUCAGCUGUAAGAUGGAGGAAAAUAGUUCUGUCAGUGAGCACAUACUCAAAAUGUCUGGGUUGCAUAACCGCUUGACUCAGCUAGGAGUUAAUCUCCUGGAUGACGCGGUCAUUGACAGAAUCCUUCAGUCGCUUCCACCAAGCUACAAGAGCUUUAUGAUGAACUUCAAUAUGCAGGGGAUGGAAAAGACCAUUCCUGAAGUAUUUGCAAUGCUGAAAUCAGCAGAGGUAGAAGUCAAAAAGGAACAUCAAGUGUUGUUGGUGAAUAAAACCACUAAGUUCAAGAAAGGCAAGGGUAAGAAGAACUUCAAGAAGGACGGCAAGGGAGUUGCCGCACCCGGUAAGCAAGCUGCCGGGAAGAAGCCAAAGUAUGGACCCAAGCCCGAGACUGAGUGCUUUUAUUACAAGGGAAGUGGUCACUGGAAGCGGAACUGCCCCAAAUACUUAGCGGACAAGAAGGCCGGCAUCACAAAAGGUAUAUGUGAUAUACAUGUAAUUGAUGUGUACCUUACCAGUACUCGUAGUAGCUCCUGGGUAUUUGAUACCGGUGCCGUUGCUCACAUUUGUAACUCAAAACAGGAGCUGCGGAAUAAGCGGAGACUGGCGAAGGACGAGGUGACGAUGCGCGUUGGGAAUGGUCCCAAGGUCGAUGUGAUCGCCGUCGGCACACUACCUCUACAUUUACCUACGGGAUUAGUUUUAAACCUCAAUAAUUGUUAUUUAGUGCCAGCUUUGAGCAUGAACAUUGUAUCAGGAUCUCGUUUAAUUUGAGAUGGCUACUCAUUUAAAUCCGAGAAUAAUGGUUAUUCUAUUUAUAUGAGAGAUAUGUUUUAUGGUCAUGCUCUGAUGGUGAAUGGUUUAUUCUUAAUGAAUCUCGAGCGUAAUGCUACACAUAUUCAUAGUGUGAAUACCAAAAGAUGUAAGGUUGAUAAUGAUAGUCCCACAUACUUGUGGCACUGCCGCCUUGGUCACAUAGGUGUCAAACGCAUGAAGAAGCUCCAUGCAGAUGGACUUCUAGAAUCUCUUGAUUACGAAUCAUUUGACACGUGCGAACCAUGCCUCAUGGGUAAGAUGACCAAGACUUCGUUCUCAGGAACAAUGGAGCGAGCAACCAACUUAUUGGAAAUCAUACAUAUAGAUGUGUGCGGUCCAAUGAGUGUUGAGGCUCGCGGUGGCUAUCAUUAUGUUCUCACCCUCACUGAUGACUUGAGUAGAUAUGGGUAUGUCUACUUAAUGAAACACAAGUCUGAGACCUUUGAAAAGUUCAAGGAAUUUCAGAGUGAGGUUGAGAAUCAACGUGACAGGAAAAUCAAGUUCUUGCGAUCAGAUCGUGGGGGAGAAUACUUGAGUCACGAAUUUGUCACACACUUAAGAAAAUGUGGAAUAGUUUCACAACUCACGCCGCUUGGAACACCUCAGCGUAAUUGUGUGGCCAAACGUCGUAAUCACACUCUAUUGGAUAUGGUGCAAUCUAUGAUGUCUCUUACCGAUUUACCGCUGUCAUUUUGGGGCUAUGCUUUAGAGACAGCCGCAUUCACUUUAAAUAGGGCUCCGUCGAAAUCCGUUGAGACGACACCGUAUGAAUUAUGGUUUGGGAAGAAACCUAAGAUGUCGUUUCUAAAAGUUUGGGGAUGCGAUGCUUAUGUCAAGAAACUUCAACCUGAAAAGCUCGAACCCAAGUCGGAAAAAUGCGUCUUCAUAGGAUACCCUAAAGAAACUAUUGGGUAUACCUUCUACCUCAGAUCCAAAGGCAAGAUCUUUGUUGCCAAGAAUGGAUCCUUUCUAGAGAAAGGGUUUCUCUCGAAAGAAGUAAGUGGGAGGAAAGUAGAACUUGAUGAAGUAUUACCUCUUGAACCGGAAAGUGGCGCAACACAGGGAAAUGUUCCUAAGGUGCCUGCACCGACUAGAGAGGAAGUUAAUGCUGAUGAUCAUGAAACGUCAGAUCAAGUUGCUACUGAACUUUGUAGGUCCACAAGGACACGUUCCGCACCAGAGUGGUACAGUAACCCUAUCUUGGAAAUCAUGUUGUUAGACAACGGUGAACCUUCGAACUAUGAAGAAGCAAUGGCAGGCCCGGAUUCCGACAAAUGGCUGGAAGCCAU